ACUUGGAUAACUGCGGUAAUUCUGGAGCUAAUACAUGCGAACGAUGCCCGACUCACGGAGGGCUGCUUUUAUUAGAUCAAAACCAAACCGCUUCGGCGGUCUCUUUGGUGAUUCUGAAUAACUUUGGGCUGAUCGCACGGUCAUGCACCGGCGACGUAUCCUUCCAAGGUGUGCCCUAUCAACUGUCAACUGUGGCAUAGACGCCCACAGUGGUUUUGACGGGUAACGGGGAAUUAGGGUUCGAUUCCGGAGAGGGAGCCUGAGAAACGGCUACCACUUCUACGGAAGGCAGCGGGCACGCAAAUUACCCACUGGCCGAAGGCCGAGGUAGUGACGAAAAAUAACGAUACCGGACUCAUCCGAGGCCCGGUAAUCGGAAUGAGUACACUUUAAAUCCUUUAACGAGGAACAAUU
This 414-nucleotide ribosomal RNA is filed under the name uncultured picoeukaryote. Its description in RNAcentral is "SSU rRNA". It matches the Rfam family "Eukaryotic small subunit ribosomal RNA", at positions 137 to 549 of the family's 1831-position model. The record is from RNAcentral.